UCAUUAGUACGUAAGAUUGCUAGCACAGUUUGUUAGUUUCUUUUUCUACUUCUCAUUUAAUUCAUUAUUUUUCAGUAAGAAUACAGUUCAUUUUGUGCCCUUUUAUAUUCCAUUAAGUUAUAUCAUAUCAUAAUUUUGUAAUGAAUUUGGAAAACGUUCCUGGCCUGAAAAAUGUUGAAGGGUUCGAAAAAUAUUUAUGAAUUCUAAAAACAUAUGAAAUUGAACAAAAAAUUGUGAUUUAGAGGAAGAGUUCACUUAUUCAAAAAUUGUUCAUGAACUCACAAAAUCUUCAUAAGUUUUGAACAACGUUAGAGAAGAAUUAAGAAAAAAAAG
This 333-nucleotide long non-coding RNA is filed under the name Hordeum vulgare. RNAcentral's name for it is "long non-coding RNA (HVUL_LNC013846)". The record is from RNAcentral. Lineage: Eukaryota; Viridiplantae; Streptophyta; Magnoliopsida; Poales; Poaceae.